Molecule: ribosomal RNA, 263 nt
Filed under: uncultured bacterium
Lineage: Bacteria
Description: partial 16S ribosomal RNA
Rfam family: Bacterial small subunit ribosomal RNA
Source: RNAcentral
AAGUUUCUUCGGAAAUGGAUUAGCGGCGAACGGGUGAGUAACAUAUCGGAACGUGCCUAGUAAUGGGGAAAGACUAAUCGAAAGAUUAGCUAAUACCGCAUACGCCCCACGGGGGAAAGGCCGGGAUCUUCGGACCGGUCACUAUUGGAUGAGCCUGCGUAGGAUUAGCUAGUUGGUGAGGUAAAGGCUCACCAAGGCGACGAUCCUUAGCUGGUCUGAGAGGACGAUCAGCCACACUGGAACUGAGACACGGUCCAGACUCC